UCUCCAACAAGAGAAUAGUAGGCUGCAUC
RNAcentral lists this non-coding RNA (29 nucleotides) under Homo sapiens (human). Lineage: Eukaryota; Metazoa; Chordata; Mammalia; Primates; Hominidae. The record is from RNAcentral.